RNAcentral lists this long non-coding RNA (221 nucleotides) under Bos taurus (domestic cattle). Its description in RNAcentral is "long non-coding RNA NONBTAT016105". Lineage: Eukaryota; Metazoa; Chordata; Mammalia; Artiodactyla; Bovidae. The record is from RNAcentral.
CCUGCCGACACCAGCAGUUCAGGUAUCAGCCAUCUGUAAAUGCUUUCACCUCCCACUUGCCUGUCCCAGCACUAGGAGCAGCUGGGGGUUCUCUCCAAGGCCUCUAACAGGGGACUAGCCUGCCUUUCCCCUAUUGCCUCCCCAGAAACCCAAGCUCAACCAGCUGCAGUUCCAACUCUAGCUGCACUAGAGCUAGGCUGACAAAGAUACAGUGAUACUGU